Rhea pennata is the source of this 337-nucleotide long non-coding RNA. RefSeq lists it as uncharacterized. The record is from RefSeq and is a predicted model, not a curated record. Lineage: Eukaryota; Metazoa; Chordata; Aves; Rheiformes; Rheidae. The transcript has 4 exons.
UCUUGGUGAUGAUGAGCUGGACCCAAGGCGCGGAGGGGUUCAGGCAGAUCAUCUGCCCCUGCUUCGUCGUGGCUCUGGGGGCGAGUGGAGAGGACUAUGCUACUUCCUGAAUGUGGCAGUAACAGAACUGCAGAAAUCCCCAAGGUCAAAAGUGAAGCCAAGAGCCUGCUCCACCUAUGUGAUUAACCCUGCCCUUGAGCUAAGAAUUUGAACCUCUUGGAUGAAAAGCUGUGCACACAAGAAGACCCUAAAGACCUGGAAGCCAAAGCUUUCACUGGAAUUCAUUCGCCUGCCCUGAGGCUGCCAGUGACUUAAGAACUGCUGAUGAGACAUAACA